Sinocyclocheilus anshuiensis is the source of this 132-nucleotide ribosomal RNA. NCBI's taxonomy places the organism in Eukaryota, Metazoa, Chordata, Actinopteri, Cypriniformes, Cyprinidae. The record is from Ensembl.
UUCAGGAGCUAUAUCACCCUGUAGCAUAAGACUGGUCACCCACUGAAGCCAAGCAGGGUUGAGUCUGGUCAGUACCUGGAUGGGAGGCCAGCAGGGGGAGCUCAUCCUGUGUGAGUCCUAAUGCCCCAGUAU